GGAUUUGGUAUCUGCGCUCUGCUGAAGCCAGUUACCUAGGUUAGGUAAUCUGCCAGGAUUAACUAACCUUCGAAAAACCACCUUGCCGGGUGGUUUUUUCGU
Molecule: non-coding RNA, 102 nt
Filed under: chicken gut metagenome
Source: RNAcentral